RNAcentral lists this ribosomal RNA (452 nucleotides) under uncultured bacterium. Its description in RNAcentral is "bacterial SSU rRNA". It matches the Rfam family "Bacterial small subunit ribosomal RNA", at positions 355 to 825 of the family's 1533-position model. The record is from RNAcentral.
UCGAGAAUCUUCCGCAAUGGACGAAAGUCUGACGGAGCGACGCCGCGUGAUGGAUGAAGUCCCUCUGGGACGUAAACAUCUUUUAUGAGGGAGAAAGUUUAUUGAUAGUACCUCACGAAUAAGGGGUUGCUAAACUCGUGCCAGCAGCAGCGGUAAUACGAGUGCCCCGAGCGUUAUCCGGAAUCAUUGGGCGUAAAGGGUGUGUAGGUGGCAUUGUUAGUCACACGUUAAACCCUGGGGCUUAACCCCAGAUCUGCGUGUGAUACGGCAAAGCUAGAGGAUGGCAGGGAUGUAUGGAACUCAUGGAGUAGGGGUGAAAUCCGUUGAUAUCAUGGGGAACACCGAAAGCGAAGGCAGUACAUUGGGCCACUCCUGACACUGAAACACGAAAGCGUGGGUAGCGAAUGGGAUUAGAUACCCCCGUAGUCCCUGAGCGGGCUGGCAAGGCGCAU